This 200-nucleotide ribosomal RNA is filed under the name uncultured bacterium. RNAcentral's name for it is "partial 16S ribosomal RNA". It matches the Rfam family "Bacterial small subunit ribosomal RNA", at positions 524 to 722 of the family's 1533-position model. The record is from RNAcentral.
UACGUAGGGUGCGAGCGUUGUCCGGAAUUAUUGGGCGUAAAGAGCUCGUAGGCGGUUUGUCACGUCUGCUGUGAAAUCCCGAGGCUCAACCUCGGGCCUGCAGUGGGUACGGGCGAGACUGGAGUGCGGUAGGGGAGAAUGGAAUUCCUGGUGUAGCGGUGGAAUGCGCAGAUAUCAGGAGGAACACCGAUGGCGAAGGC